UUCUCCUUAUGCAGAUGUCCUGGCUCUCAACAAAGGCACCAGGCAGGAUUGUUUUUUUCUCUUGCAUUCCCAUAAGCCUGACUUCCUGAUGUCCACUACACUCUGUUCUCAAUCUUCUCCAGUCUUUUGCAAACUGUGAUGUUCAGAUGUCCUAUAAGCCUGACUUCCUGAUGUCCACUACACUCCGUUCUCAACCUUCUCCGGUAUUCUGCAAACUGUGAAUGCCUCCUUGUGUUGGAUUCAUGAUGUUCACCAUACUGCACGGCCUACUUUUUUCU
Sardina pilchardus (European sardine) is the source of this 278-nucleotide long non-coding RNA. RefSeq lists it as uncharacterized. Lineage: Eukaryota; Metazoa; Chordata; Actinopteri; Clupeiformes; Clupeidae. The transcript is spliced from 3 exons. The record is from RefSeq and is a predicted model, not a curated record.